This 1124-nucleotide long non-coding RNA is filed under the name Gallus gallus (chicken). The record is from RNAcentral. Lineage: Eukaryota; Metazoa; Chordata; Aves; Galliformes; Phasianidae.
UUGACCUAAUACACAGUAGUAAAGUUGCAACAUUUCAUAAAAUUUCUAAGCAUGAAGAUUAGAAUACUUACAGGAUAUACUUUUAAAGCUCCCAGGAGCAGAUAAACCAAGCAAGGGAAGUGGAAGUUGAGAAUUACAGCUUUGGUCCUAUGACGGGAUCUCCCUGUGUGAGACCUUGGCAAGAGUGAAGCCUUAUUCAUAAAAUCUUUGGAGCAAAAGAAUACAACAGAGUCAUCAGCAAAGACAGAGCACUGAGAAAACUUUUCCUUUUUGAAUUUGUACCUGUGGAAAUACAAGAAAGACUAUUCAGAGCAGCAGCUGUGAAGCAAGAUAAACAGCAUGGGAAAGCAAGGCUGACAAUCAAGGACUUCUCUAGAAGAGAAAAGCAAAAGAAAUGGCCUAUGGCUCUGAUUGGAUUAAGCACUCAUGUGAGCUUUCAGCAAUGGGCAUAGCUUGGACUGCAUGCUGGGAGCCUCCCCCUAUCCUGCUGAAGGCACUCAGCAAGCCAGAGCCCUGCAUGGCCACAGCACUGGUCUUGCCAUGACGGUACAGAUGGGGUUAUUGCAUGAAAGUGGAAGAGCCUGUCUCAGCUAUACUUCACAAAACUGUCCUAAUUUCUUCAUCAGUUCUUUGCCCAACAGGGGGACACACCAGAGGACAUGCACUGAAUCAGUGGCAGGAACAAGAAUUAAAUCCACAUCUUCUAGUCUUGCUAGUACACAGGCAGUGGAGAAAAGAGCAAGAUAAAGGAUUAAAAAGCAGUGAGACCAGAAGAUGCAUUUCCUUGAUCAAAAUGAGGUGAACAUUUGCCUGGUACCAAACUGCAAAACUGUGUAGCAACCAGAUGUGAACUUGUGCUUCAGACAAAAUCUGAGCAUGCCACAGGCACCAGAGAAAGUGAGAGCAGUGAUAAAUGACACCAAACCUGAGUGAAAGCAGCAGUCAGGUUCUACAGCUGGCUUUUUCCAUGUACGAAUCAGUCUGGAAUGGAAUGAAUGAAGCUGAAUAAAAAAGCACUUAUUUUGUCUGUUUGUUAUUUGAUUAAGCUAUCACCAAGAACUAUUCCUUCAGAAUGCAAAGCUUUUGGAUAAAAAUCGCUACUCUUCUUGACUGAUCUUUUCUCC